Molecule: ribosomal RNA, 247 nt
Filed under: uncultured bacterium
Lineage: Bacteria
Description: partial 16S ribosomal RNA
Rfam family: Bacterial small subunit ribosomal RNA
Source: RNAcentral
AUACGUAGGGGGCAAGCGUUGUCCGGAAUGACUGGGCGUAAAGGGCGCGUAGGUGGCCUUAUAAGUUUGGAGUGAAAGUCCCGCUUUCAAGGUGGGAAUUGCUUUGAAGACUGUAGGGCUUGAGUGUGGGAGAGGAUAGCGGAAUUCCCGGUGUAGCGGUGAAAUGCGUAGAGAUCGGGAGGAACACCAGUGGCGAAGGCGGCUAUCUGGACCAAGACUGACACUGAGGCGCGAAAGCGUGGGUAGC